AACGAACGCUGGCGGCAUGCCUAACACAUGCAAGUCGAACGAACCCUUCGGGGUUAGUGGCGCACGGGUGCGUAACGCGUGGGAAUCUGCCCUUGGGUUCGGAAUAACAGUUAGAAAUGACUGCUAAUACCGGAUGAUGUCUUCGGACCAAAGAUUUAUCGCCCAGGGAUGAGCCCGCGUAGGAUUAGGUAGUUGGUGGGGUAAAGGCCUACCAAGCCGACGAUCCUUAGCUGGUCUGAGAGGAUGAUCAGCCACACUGGGACUGAGACACGGCCCAGACUCCUACGGGAGGCAGCAGUGGGGAAUAUUGGACAAUGGGCGCAAGCCUGAUCCAGCAAUGCCGCGUGAGUGAUGAAGGCCUUCGGGUCGUAAAGACUCUUUACCCGGGUAUGAUAAUGACAGUACCGGGAGAAUAAGACUCCGGCGUAACUCCGUGCCAGCAG
RNAcentral lists this ribosomal RNA (443 nucleotides) under uncultured bacterium. RNAcentral's name for it is "bacterial SSU rRNA". It matches the Rfam family "Bacterial small subunit ribosomal RNA", at positions 29 to 514 of the family's 1533-position model. The record is from RNAcentral.